This 253-nucleotide ribosomal RNA is filed under the name uncultured bacterium. RNAcentral describes it as "partial 16S ribosomal RNA". It matches the Rfam family "Bacterial small subunit ribosomal RNA", at positions 524 to 776 of the family's 1533-position model. The record is from RNAcentral.
UACAGAGGUCUCAAGCGUUGUUCGGAUUCAUUGGGCGUAAAGGGUGCGUAGGUGGCGGGGUAAGUCUGGUGUGAAAUCUCGGGGCUCAACCCCGAAACUGCACUGGAUACUGCCUUGCUCGAGUACUGGAGAGGAGAUUGGAAUUUACGGUGUAGAGGUGAAAUUCGUAGAUAUUCGGAAGAACACCAGUGGCGAAGGCGGCUCACUGGACUGGUAUUGACGCUGAGGUGCGAAGGCCAGGGGAGCAAACGGG